GACGAACGCUGGCGGCGUGCUUAACACAUGCAAGUCGAACGGAAAGGCCCUGCUUUUGUGGGGUGCUCGAGUGGCGAACGGGUGAGUAACACGUGAGUAACCUGCCCUUGACUUUGGGAUAACUUCAGGAAACUGGGGCUAAUACCGGAUAGGAGCUCCUGCUGCAUGGUGGGGGUUGGAAAGUUUCGGCGGUUGGGGAUGGACUCGCGGCUUAUCAGCUUGUUGGUGGGGUAGCGGCUUACCAAGGCUUUGACGGGUAGCCGGCCUGAGAGGGUGACCGGCCACAUUGGGUCUGAGAUACGGCCCAGACUCCUACGGGAGGCAGCGGUGGGGAAUAUUGCACAAUGGGCGGAAGCCUGAUGCAGCAACGCCGCGUGCGGGAUGACGGCCUUCGGGUUGUAAACCGCUUUCGCCUGUGACGAAGCGUGAGUGACGGUAAUGGGUAAAGAAGCACCGGCUAACUACGUG
This 468-nucleotide ribosomal RNA is filed under the name uncultured bacterium. RNAcentral describes it as "partial 16S ribosomal RNA". It matches the Rfam family "Bacterial small subunit ribosomal RNA", at positions 28 to 507 of the family's 1533-position model. The record is from RNAcentral.